RNAcentral lists this ribosomal RNA (542 nucleotides) under uncultured bacterium. RNAcentral's name for it is "bacterial SSU rRNA". It matches the Rfam family "Bacterial small subunit ribosomal RNA", at positions 777 to 1313 of the family's 1533-position model. The record is from RNAcentral.
AAUAGAUACCCGGGUAGUCCUGGCCGUAAACGAUGUCGACUAGAUCGCAGUUCCUUCAACGGUAUUGCGGUCGAAGCAAAAGUGCUAAGUCGACCGCCUGGGAAGUACGGUCGCAAGGCUAAAACUCAAAGAAAUUGACGGGGGCUCACACAAGCGGUGGAGCAUGUGGUUCAAUUCGAAGCAACGCGCAGAACCUUACCUGGGCUUGACAUGCUAGGAUUAUCCCUAUGAAAGUAGGGUAGGCCCUUCGGGGUACAACUAGUACAGGUGCUGCAUGGCUGUCGUCAGCUGUGUCGUGAGAUGUCGGGUUAAGUCCCUUAACGAGCGAAACCUUUGCCCUUAGUUACUAACGGGUUAUGCCGAGGACUCUAAGGGGACUGCCGGUGUCAAACCGAAGGAAGGUGGAGAUGACGUCAAGUCAGCAUGGCCCUGACGUCCUGGGCGACACACACGCUACAAUGGCCGGUCCAACGGGAAGCCAACCCGCGAGGGGAGCGGAUCCCAGCAAACCCGGUCUCAGUUCAGAUUGCAGGCUGCAACCG